Molecule: ribosomal RNA, 494 nt
Filed under: uncultured bacterium
Lineage: Bacteria
Description: partial 16S ribosomal RNA
Rfam family: Bacterial small subunit ribosomal RNA
Source: RNAcentral
GACGAACGCUGGCGGCGUGCUUAACACAUGCAAGUCGAACGGUGAAGCGCCUUCCUUUUUGGUGGGUGUGGAUGAGUGGCGAACGGGUGAGUAACACGUGAGUAACCUGCCCCCUUCUUCUGGAUAACCGCAUGAAAGUGUGGCUAAUACGGGAUAUUCUGGGUCUGUCGCAUGAUGGGUCUGGGAAAGAUAUUGUUUCGGUGGGGGAUGGGCUCGCGGCCUAUCAGCUUGUUGGUGGGGUGAUGGCCUACCAAGGCGGUGACGGGUAGCCGGCCUGAGAGGGUGGACGGUCACACUGGGACUGAGACACGGCCCAGACUCCUACGGGAGGCAGCAGUGGGGAAUAGUGCACAAUGGGCGCAAGCCUGAUGCAGCGACGCCGCGUGAGGGAUGGAGGCCUUCGGGUUGUGAACCUCUUUCGCCGGUGAAGCAGGCCUGCCUCGUUUGUGGGUGGGUUGACGGUAGCUGGAGAAGAAGCGCCGGCUAACUACGUG